AGAGUCUGCCUUCUCUUCAGAUUGAAUAAAUCUUUAGCCUUUUACUAAAGAUUUCUGUGGAAAAGAACUAUUCUGAGUCUUAAACCAAAUUUUUGAGGCCUUGCUCUGGCAAGGCU
Molecule: small nuclear RNA, 116 nt
Organism: Tupaia belangeri (northern tree shrew)
Lineage: Eukaryota; Metazoa; Chordata; Mammalia; Scandentia; Tupaiidae
Gene: U5
Rfam family: U5 spliceosomal RNA
About the family: U5 RNA is a component of both types of known spliceosome. The precise function of this molecule is unknown, though it is known that the 5' loop is required for splice site selection and p220 binding, and that both the 3' stem-loop and the Sm site are important for Sm protein binding and cap methylation.
Source: Ensembl